This 195-nucleotide ribosomal RNA is filed under the name uncultured bacterium. RNAcentral's name for it is "partial 16S ribosomal RNA". It matches the Rfam family "Bacterial small subunit ribosomal RNA", at positions 338 to 524 of the family's 1533-position model. The record is from RNAcentral.
CCUACGGGAGGCAGCAGUGGGGAAUAUUGGACAAUGGGCCCAAGCCUGAUCCAGCCAUGCCGCGUGUGUGAAGAAGGCCUUUUGGUUGUAAAGCACUUUAAGCGAGGAGGAGGCUACUUGGAUUAAUACUCUAGGAUAGUGGACGUUACUCGCAGAAUAAGCACCGGCUAACUCUGUGCCAGCAGCCGCGGUAAU